AUUGAACGCUGGCGGCAUGCCUAACACAUGCAAGUCGAACGGCAGCAUGAAUAGAGCUUGCUCUAUUUGAUGGCGAGUGGCGGACGGGUGAGUAAUAUGUAGGAAUCUACCUAGAGGAGGGGGAUAACUUGGGGAAACUCAAGCUAAUACCACAUAAGCCCUACGGGGGAAAGCAGGGGAUCGCAAGACCUUGCGCCUUAUGAUGAGCCUACAUCGGAUUAGCUUGUUGGUGGGGUAAAGGCCUACCAAGGCGACGAUCCGUAGCUGGUCUGAGAGGAUGACCAGCCACACUGGGACUGAGACACGGCCCAGACUCCUACGGGAGCAG
Molecule: ribosomal RNA, 328 nt
Filed under: uncultured Pseudomonadota bacterium
Lineage: Bacteria; Pseudomonadati; Pseudomonadota
Description: bacterial SSU rRNA
Rfam family: Bacterial small subunit ribosomal RNA
Source: RNAcentral